This 257-nucleotide ribosomal RNA is filed under the name uncultured bacterium. Its description in RNAcentral is "partial 16S ribosomal RNA". It matches the Rfam family "Bacterial small subunit ribosomal RNA", at positions 521 to 776 of the family's 1533-position model. The record is from RNAcentral.
UAACACGUAGGGGGCGAGCGUUGUCCGGAUUUAUUGGGCGUAAAGAGCUCGUAGGCGGUUCGCUAAGUCGGGUGUGAAACCUCCAGGCUCAACCUGGAGACGCCACCUGAUACUGGUGUGACUAGAGUCCGGUAGGGGAGUGUGGAACUCCUGGUGUAGCGGUGAAAUGCGCAGAUAUCAGGAAGAACACCAGCGGCGAAGGCGGCACUCUGGGCCGGUACUGACGCUGAGGAGCGAAAGCGUGGGUAGCAAACAGG